UGGCUGAGUGGUUAAGCAUUUGGCUGCUAACCUAAAGGUUGGUGGUUCAACACCACC
This 57-nucleotide transfer RNA is filed under the name Loxodonta africana (African savanna elephant). It matches the Rfam family "tRNA", at positions 8 to 63 of the family's 71-position model. From Rfam's summary of the family: Transfer RNA (tRNA) molecules are approximately 80 nucleotides in length. Their secondary structure includes four short double-helical elements and three loops (D, anti-codon, and T loops). Further hydrogen bonds mediate the characteristic L-shaped molecular structure. tRNAs have two regions of fundamental functional importance: the anti-codon, which is responsible for specific mRNA codon recognition, and the 3' end, to which the tRNAs corresponding amino acid is attached (by aminoacyl-tRNA synthetases). tRNAs cope with the degeneracy of the genetic code in two manners: having more than one tRNA (with a specific anti-codon) for a particular amino acid; and 'wobble' base-pairing, i.e. permitting non-standard base-pairing at the 3rd anti-codon position. The record is from Rfam by way of RNAcentral. Lineage: Eukaryota; Metazoa; Chordata; Mammalia; Proboscidea; Elephantidae.